AUUAAAGGUAGGUUACAGUCGCAUCUGCGCAUGUGCUAGACUUUUGUUUAUGUGGGGACACACAGGAAGUUGUCAUCCUCUGUUUGUGCUCGGUCCAGUCUCAUUUCUGGCAAUAACACGCGCGUUGUUUUUAUAACGCAAGUGAAUUUAAUGCCCAAGGAGCAAGAAGUUUCCAAAAUAUUUUGAGCUUUUUUGAGCGACAGUCCGUCAAAUAACGAGUUAUUGAGGCAACAUGACGAGUAGGAAAGGAUACUACGCUAACAGGGAUGCUUCGAAAGUGUAUCAAAGUGUAUCUAUUAUAUUGUUUUCCUCGAUGGAGAGCGCAUCCAUUUCUGCGUCUGCCCAUGAAUGGCCAUGAUAUACCUGCAUCCUCAAGCUUCUACCAAAGGUUGUCAAGAAACGAAUCCAAGAAGGAUUGGAGAUUGCUCCCAACAUAGCUGCAAUGUUGAUCCUUCAGAGAAAUCACUUGUUUUAAAGCCCAUCAAUCGAGGUUUUAAUGACUAUAAAAUUUUCUAUAUUACACUAUUUCACUAUCGUUAAUAUAUACGAACGGUUUAUCUAUUUUAUUUACAAACUGAAACCCAUAAUAUAAUUAUAAAGGCCUAAAGAUAUGAUACUCGUGAGUAGUGAGUUGUCGAUGAAAAAAUAAUGAACAAUUUGGACUUUUGGAUGACUGUUUAUAUAGACGUGUUAUUGUCACUUGUCAGAGUGAUAAUCUACUUGGCUGUAGCAGUGCGUUAAUUACUGUCUUUGACUGUCUGCUCAUGGACAACUUGUAAAGUUACUAAGUAGAUUUUAAUUUGAUCAAAACACUUAACAGUUUAAAUGCCUUUUAGUUGCUCUGAAGUUACAGUACUUGACCUAAUGGGGUGUUUAUAUGGAGGCAAGCCAGCUCGGGUGCCUGAGCUAGCUUACUUGGCCGAGAUCUAAUGUUGCUAGAUAAUUUAUACUAAUAUUCGUAUUGUGUGUAUAUGAGAACCAGGCUGGCUUGCCUAAGCGAGAUCUUGUUUAAUGACAGAGCCCCAGAUCAGAGCCCGACAGAGCCCCCAGAUCUCGCCUACGUUGGCUGGUUUGCCUAAGCCGCUGAAUACGAAUAUAUUGCCAAUUACUAAUUGUAGUAAAUAAGACUUUCUCAACAGAUUUUUAAUCUAUAGUUUUAAAAAUUAAUACCUCUGUGAACAGUUGUGACGGUCAUAACCAUGACAGUUUCUCGCAAUGAUUUGUUUUGGUGCCAGCCUGCUACAUGAUGAAAUUAGCAAAGCCACCUAUCUCAGGUAACCGGGCUGGCUUGCCUCCAUAUAAACACCCCUAAGACAUUUAGUUUAUAAAAGAUUUUGAUCACAAAUACUUAUAUGAUGUAAACAAACUCAACUAAUAAUUACUAGUAUAUUUUCCACCCUAAUUGUAAGUAAAGCUUGCAUAUAAGAACCUACUGUAUAUGAGGGCCUGUCAGGCUAAUUUUUCAGUAUUUAGACACCCAAUCUGUUUAGGCUAGUAUUUCAGGUUCUUAUUUUAUCACAUGGAGACCAGUCAGAUCUAAAAAUGUAUAAAAAUCAAAGAGAAUAAACUCUUCACAAAGUAAUGAAAAUGAUCCAGAACCCUGAAAAUGUCAUUGAGAUAAA
RNAcentral lists this long non-coding RNA (1622 nucleotides) under Paramuricea clavata. The record is from RNAcentral. Lineage: Eukaryota; Metazoa; Cnidaria; Anthozoa; Malacalcyonacea; Plexauridae.